Molecule: unclassified non-coding RNA, 240 nt
Filed under: soil metagenome
Description: partial contains 5.8S ribosomal RNA, internal transcribed spacer 2, and large subunit ribosomal RNA
Source: RNAcentral
AACCUUAUGGACCUGCGGGCGUAUACCUGCGGAAGGAUCAUUAAAAAACUUUGCCCGCGGACCCCGGGUCCGAGGCGCAAAACCCACACUGUGUGCACUGUUAUCGUUCUUUUGGCAGGGGCUUGGGGUGCCUUCCAACUUGGAGAACCUCAACUUCUCGUCUAGCUCUAUCCACCUCGGACAGCUGGACAUGAGAAGCAGUUACCCUGCCAAGUGACCCUUAAAAACACGCCUUUCGUC